AUUAAUGCUAGCGGCAGGCAUAAUACAUGCAAGUUGAACGGCAGCACAGGUAGCAAUACUGGGUGGCGAGUGGCGCACGGGUGCGUAACACGUAUGCAACCUACCCUAUACAGGCGAAUAACCUUUAGAAAUGAGGGCUAAUACGCCGUAGUAUUACAGAUGGGCAUCUAUUUGUAAUUAAAGAUUUAUCGGUAUAGGAUGGGCAUGCGUCCCAUUAGUUAGUUGGUAAGGUAACGGCUUACCAAGACGAUGAUGGGUAGGGG
This 263-nucleotide ribosomal RNA is filed under the name uncultured bacterium. RNAcentral describes it as "partial 16S ribosomal RNA". It matches the Rfam family "Bacterial small subunit ribosomal RNA", at positions 29 to 289 of the family's 1533-position model. The record is from RNAcentral.